AGCCUAACUGUAGAUGAAAAUGGGCAGUGUUGGUCAGUGUCUAGGAUUGGUCAAUGUGGCUCAAUUGAGACACAGGUCAUGCUUCGAUCACAGUCAAUGCAAAAUACUGAUCUAAACAAGUGAGAACA
This 128-nucleotide small nucleolar RNA is filed under the name Jaculus jaculus (lesser Egyptian jerboa). RNAcentral describes it as "Small nucleolar RNA SNORA1 (ENSJJAG00000005115.1)". Lineage: Eukaryota; Metazoa; Chordata; Mammalia; Rodentia; Dipodidae. The record is from RNAcentral.